AAUUAAAUUUUUUAUCCAUUUCUAAUGUUAAAAACUAACGUGACUAAUAAAAUAACUAGAAAGUUAACAUGACAUGCUCUGUAUAUCCCAUGUUGAUGUACAAGGACUAGUUAUUAAGAGUGAAAAUAGAUGAAAUUUUUAACA
Gossypium arboreum is the source of this 144-nucleotide microRNA precursor. It matches the Rfam family "MIR7502 microRNA precursor family". NCBI's taxonomy places the organism in Eukaryota, Viridiplantae, Streptophyta, Magnoliopsida, Malvales, Malvaceae. The record is from Rfam.